Molecule: ribosomal RNA, 253 nt
Filed under: uncultured bacterium
Lineage: Bacteria
Description: partial 16S ribosomal RNA
Rfam family: Bacterial small subunit ribosomal RNA
Source: RNAcentral
CACGUAGGGCGCAAGCGUUGUCCGGAAUUAUUGGGCGUAAAGAGCUCGUAGGCGGUCUGUUGCGUCCGCUGUGAAAACCCGGGGCUUAACCCUGGGCUGGCAGUGGAUACGGACAGACUAGAGGUAGGUAGGGGAGAAUGGAAUUCCCGGUGUAGCGGUGAAAUACGCAGAUAUCGGGAGGAACACCGGUGGCGAAGGCGGUUCUCUGGGCCUUACCUGACGCUGAGGAGCGAAAGCGUGGGGAGCGAACAGG